GCUGGAAACAGUGAUGUGCGUCUGUAGUCCUAGCUGCUCAGGUGGCUGAGGCUGGAGGAUCACUUGAGCCUAGGAGUUCUGAGCUGUGGUGCACUAAGUUUGGCAUCAAUAUGAUGGGCUCCCGGGAGCUAGGGACCACCAGGUUGCCUAAGGAGGAGCGAACUGCCCAGGUCAGAAAUGGAGCAGGAAAAACUCCCUUGAUGAUCAGUAGUGGGAUAGUGCCUGUGAAUCGCCACUGCACUCCAGCCUGGGCAAUAGCACAAGACCCCAUCUCUU
The sequence is an unclassified non-coding RNA, 276 nucleotides long. It matches the Rfam family "Metazoan signal recognition particle RNA". Rfam says of the family: The signal recognition particle (SRP) is a universally conserved ribonucleoprotein. It is involved in the co-translational targeting of proteins to membranes. The record is from Ensembl.